CAGACGUGUUCUCUUCCGAUCGGCAUUCAUCGUGCGUUGACGCAUUUGAAUCGCCGCAGACAUUGUUAUUGUUUUAUUGUUUUCCCUUCGUUGUUGUUAAAGUAGAUUUCGAAUCUUUACAAAUACAUUAUGCUCAUACUCA
This is a long non-coding RNA of Daphnia magna, 142 nucleotides long. RefSeq lists it as uncharacterized. Lineage: Eukaryota; Metazoa; Arthropoda; Branchiopoda; Diplostraca; Daphniidae. The record is from RefSeq and is a predicted model, not a curated record. The transcript has 3 exons.